UACGGAGGGUGCAAGCGUUAUCCAGAUUCACUGGGUUUAAAGGGUGCGUAGGUGGGCAGGUAAGUCAGUGGUGAAAUCUCCGGGCUUAACCCGGAAACUGCCGUUGAUACUAUUUGUCUUGAAUAUUGUGGAGGUAAGCGGAAUAUGUCAUGUAGCGGUGAAAUGCUUAGAUAUGACAUAGAACACCAAUUGCGAAGGCAGCUUACUACACAAUGAUUGACACUGAGGCACGAAAGCGUGGGGAUCAAACAGG
RNAcentral lists this ribosomal RNA (253 nucleotides) under uncultured bacterium. RNAcentral describes it as "partial 16S ribosomal RNA". It matches the Rfam family "Bacterial small subunit ribosomal RNA", at positions 524 to 776 of the family's 1533-position model. The record is from RNAcentral.